Molecule: long non-coding RNA, 1118 nt
Filed under: Homo sapiens (human)
Lineage: Eukaryota; Metazoa; Chordata; Mammalia; Primates; Hominidae
Description: HSALNT0381511
Source: RNAcentral
UCUUUAAAGGGAAGGCAGGAGGCGGACAGCUUGGCUGUGACCCUUUAGCGCUGGGUCGCGUGUGGCCCACCCUCGGCCUGAGGCAUUGUUGGGUGGUUGGAGGUGGUUGUAGUAUUUGGAAAAGAACUUGUCCCUGAAGGGCUCAGGGGACUUGGUUUCUCAGCUCCUAAUAUGGAAAAUUAAGGCAUUUCUUACGAGAUGCAGAUUUUAAAGCAGGCAUAUCUACUCGACGGCUUUGGAUUACUGCACUGCACAAAUUCCAGUCUCUGUCGGUUUUGGCUGAGAAGAGCUGUGCUUCUCACCAGCUACUGGUAGCUGAAGCAGAGAGAGAAGGCAGCAUACGUCAGCAUUUUCUUCUCUGCACUUACAAGAAAGAUCAAAGACUUUAAGACUUUCACUGUUUCUUCUACCGCUAUCUACUACGAGCUUCAAAGAGGAACCAGGAGUAUGGGAGGAGCAUGAAAGUGGACAAGGAACGUGACCAUUGAAGCACAGCACCACAGGGAGGGAUUUAGGCCCCAGGACUGCAGGCAGGCCUGGAUAAUAUCCAGCCUUCCACAAGAAGCUGGUGGAGCAGUGUUCCCUGACUCCUCCAAGGAAAGGAGACUCCCUUUCACGGUCUGCUAAGUAACGGGUGCCUUCCCAGACACUGGCGUUACCGCUUGACCAAGGAGCCCUCAAGCGGCCCUUACGCGGGCGUGACCGAAGGCUCACCUCUUGUCUUCUAGGUCACUUCUCACAAUGUCCCUUCAGCACCUGACCCUAUACCCGCUGGUUAUUCCUAGGUUAUAUUAGUAAUGCAACAAAGAGUAAUAUUAAAAGCUAAUGAUUAAUCAUGUUUAUAAUAAUGAUUGAUAAUUGUCCAUGAUCAUCUCUAUAUCUAAUUUGUAUUAUGACUAUUCUUAUUCUAACUAUUUUCUUUAUUAUACUGAAACAGUUUGUGCCUUCAGUCUCUUGCCUCGGCACCUAGGUAAUCCUCCACCCACAUCCUACUCUUGGACAACAGGAAAAUUAGAAAAGAUAAUGGAGAGCUUUUUCAGAAUGUUGAAUUUAGGAGUUGUGUGUGCUUUUGAUCUCCAUGUCAAUCCAUAAACAAUAAAUCCUGUUCUUAAAUUUGA